This 362-nucleotide long non-coding RNA is filed under the name Mytilus galloprovincialis (Mediterranean mussel). The record is from RNAcentral. Lineage: Eukaryota; Metazoa; Mollusca; Bivalvia; Mytilida; Mytilidae.
ACCGUAAUUCAUCAUCAAAAUAUUUUCAAGAUGACCAUAACAUAUAACAAGAUUGACCGUGAUUUACUCUUAUCUUUGUACUCUAGAAGUUCUUGGCGACUAGUUCUGUUUGUUCUUUCGAAAGCUGUAUCAAGGAUGUUGUUAUUGUAUCCGCAAAAAGAGCAAAAAGCAAAAAACAUCCCAAGGCCACCUAUGCGUUUGAAAAAAAGCACGAUAUUCCCGUAUCUGGUAGGGGUCAUCCACUGACACCAGGACACUUAUUAUGUGAGUUCGACUUCUACAUUCCAAGAUAAUAAUAAUUUUACAUCGAACUGAUGGAGGAUAUUAGUUAUCCGAAAUAUUUAAUAGUUUUUAUUGAUUUU